CAUAAGCUGCAUUGUUCGUAUUCCCAUAAAGUUUUAACCUUUAAGCUGUAAAAGGGAGUUUUAUAUAGGCUGGAAAUGACACGCCAAUCAUUUAUGGUUGGACAGACAGGAACAGUUCUGCGAACACCCACUUUGAGGAGUGGUGGUUUAAAACUUUCUAUGAAUCGUAGUACGGCAAAGGCGGCCAUAA
RNAcentral lists this non-coding RNA (190 nucleotides) under Sporosarcina gallistercoris. Its description in RNAcentral is "Sporosarcina sp. Sa3CUA8 6S RNA". It matches the Rfam family "6S / SsrS RNA". Rfam says of the family: E. coli 6S RNA was the first non coding RNA to be sequenced, but its function was unknown until recently. It consists of 184 nucleotides that fold into an extended hairpin structure with a large single-stranded internal bulge. Lineage: Bacteria; Bacillati; Bacillota; Bacilli; Caryophanales; Caryophanaceae. The record is from RNAcentral.